This 70-nucleotide transfer RNA is filed under the name Trichiosoma vitellina. RNAcentral describes it as "tRNA-Glu". Lineage: Eukaryota; Metazoa; Arthropoda; Insecta; Hymenoptera; Cimbicidae. The record is from RNAcentral.
AUUUAUAUAGUUUAAUAAUAAAACUUUAUAUUUUCAUUAUAAAAACAAGAACAAUUUUUCUUUAUAAAUA